This 115-nucleotide microRNA precursor is filed under the name Tursiops truncatus (common bottlenose dolphin). Its description in RNAcentral is "miRNA (ENSTTRG00000021484.1)". The record is from RNAcentral. Lineage: Eukaryota; Metazoa; Chordata; Mammalia; Artiodactyla; Delphinidae.
AUGUGUAUAUAUAUAUGUGUGUGUGUAUAUAUGUAUAUGUGUAUAUACAUACACGUGUAUAUAUAUACACACAUAUAUACAUAUAUACACAUAUAUAUCUACAUAUAUAUCUAUA